This 72-nucleotide transfer RNA is filed under the name Urocitellus parryii (Arctic ground squirrel). RNAcentral's name for it is "Spermophilus parryii (Arctic ground squirrel) tRNA". It matches the Rfam family "tRNA". From Rfam's summary of the family: Transfer RNA (tRNA) molecules are approximately 80 nucleotides in length. Their secondary structure includes four short double-helical elements and three loops (D, anti-codon, and T loops). Further hydrogen bonds mediate the characteristic L-shaped molecular structure. tRNAs have two regions of fundamental functional importance: the anti-codon, which is responsible for specific mRNA codon recognition, and the 3' end, to which the tRNAs corresponding amino acid is attached (by aminoacyl-tRNA synthetases). tRNAs cope with the degeneracy of the genetic code in two manners: having more than one tRNA (with a specific anti-codon) for a particular amino acid; and 'wobble' base-pairing, i.e. permitting non-standard base-pairing at the 3rd anti-codon position. RNAcentral also lists the same sequence under 2 other names. The record is from Rfam by way of RNAcentral. Lineage: Eukaryota; Metazoa; Chordata; Mammalia; Rodentia; Sciuridae.
UGGGGUGUGGCUCAGUGGUAGAGUACUUGUCUAGUAUGUAUGAGUCCCUGGGUUCCAUACCCAGUGACCUUA